AUGCUAGAGAGGAAAUGGGGAGUGGUGAGAAACAUCAGAGAGGAGGAGGGGACGGGGAAGGUUGGGGAGGAACUGGAGCUGCUCCUCGGUCGCAGAGCAUCGAUGCAGCCCCGGCAGUCCUGCAACAUUGGGGCACUGCUCUUUGGCCCCAUGGUCCUGUCUCUGGGACUCCUGCUCCAUGCUCAGCAAGCUGUCAGCCAGGAGCUCUGUGAAGCCCCAGGUCAUCUCCCAGCCCCCAGCAUCUUUCUGAGCCCCACAGCAGCCCGGCUGGGUGAAACUGUGCAGCUCCAGUGCACGGUGGACACCAGCGGCCACAUCAGCCGUAUCAUCUUCUGCCACAACGGGCAGGAGGCGAGUGCCAUGAAGGGUGAAAAAAAGAGCAUCUACAACCACUACGAGAGUGUGUCCGCAGCCAGUUCUGGCAACUACUCUUGUGGAUAUGAGAUCCGAGACAUCAUGAACCGGGUAACCCGAUCUCAGUUCAGCCCUGUGCAACAUCUGCACAUCCAAGGCCAACGUUUCGUCCUCAGCCUGGGCAUUUCAGUUCCUUGUAUCCUGCUUCUGGCUGCACUGGGAUGCCUGAUAAUUAGGAAAGGGGCCAGAGCAAGCAGGAGGACACUCCAGAAGACGAAGUUCAAUAUGCCUCCAUCACUGUUGCACGAACUUCCAAGCCAGCUUGCCCACCAGAAGAUACGACAUCGACGUACGCAGCCAUUGCACCACGGAGGAACCAGUAUCAUUAAGGCAUGGCAAGGUGGUAUCAGGAGCACACGGGAGCUGGGAUCAUCGGUAGAAGGCCCUGGCUUGUCUGUGGUCCUCUGCCAGGCUCGUGCACCCAGCAACAUCCCUGUGCGUCUCCCCUGAAGGAGCAUUUCAUCCGCACCCACUUCCUGCUCCACUUUCUUCCUUCUUGUCCUUGCCUCCAUCCAUGAGCAAACUCCACAUCCUCUGCUCCAGUGAGAGGUUUCUCCACCAAUAUUUUGCAUACCUGAAUGAAAUCCUGAGAUGGGCUUAGAAAUCUCACUUUUUUUUUUUUUUAGGAUUUUUUUUGCAGCAUCUCCUUGACCUUACUGGCAUAUCGGCUAGAAGCAGUGAGACAUUUACAUCCAAAACAGAGAUGCUCACACAACCCUGUGCUAUCAGGCCCAGGCUAGAGGAAGGACAUCCAGUCUUGACAAUGUACAGCAAAAUUAGAAACUUCAGCAACACUCGGACUUAUUGCAUCGUGGCACUAUUGUUGACUGCCCUGUAACGCAGCUCUGCAGCUUUGGGGAUGCUGUUUAUUUUACAGGUCCCUUUUAACAAGUCUUCAUAGACAGCGUUGCCCAAUGUCCAUUGAUCCCAGCAGGAGCUUUGAGACCCCAUCCUACAUGCAGUCCCCAAAACUGAGGGCUCUUCUUUUCUGCAACUGAACCACCUCCCCUUGGGACUCUAUCCAGAGGAUGUAAACCCUGGAAAUAGCAGCUCUGCAAGGUGUUUGCAGGAGCUGCGCGCCCUUGGCAACACAACUGCUGUUAUUGCUUGGUGUGUGCCAAGCCCUCGUGGUCACGGCAGCUCCAGAGGGAUUGUGGGGACCGAUAUUGUUUGUCUCAGUCCAGCUGCAAAUUGCAGAGCGCUGGAUUUUCAUCCUCGGCAGGUCGAUUUAGUCUCUUGUCCUUGGGAUUCAUUUUUACCCGCUUGCUAGGAAGGGAAACACUGAUCUCAGCCUGCACUUUCCCCUCUCUCCAUUGCUAAACUUUCACUUUGGCCCAGGGAUUUCAUUUCCCUGUUUCUAUGACCAGAAACUUUGCCUGUGCAUGGCACAGUUGAAAAUCUUCAAUAAAAUCUGCUUUUAAUGAGGAAAACCCCA
RNAcentral lists this long non-coding RNA (1849 nucleotides) under Struthio camelus australis. Its description in RNAcentral is "lncRNA (ENSSCUG00000001927.1)". The record is from RNAcentral. Lineage: Eukaryota; Metazoa; Chordata; Aves; Struthioniformes; Struthionidae.